RNAcentral lists this ribosomal RNA (501 nucleotides) under uncultured bacterium. RNAcentral's name for it is "partial 16S ribosomal RNA". It matches the Rfam family "Bacterial small subunit ribosomal RNA", at positions 30 to 523 of the family's 1533-position model. The record is from RNAcentral.
AUUGAACGCUGGCGGCAGGCUUAACACAUGCAAGUCGAGCGGAGCGAGGGUGCUUGCACCUUAGCUUAGCGGCGGACGGGUGAGUAAUGCUUAGGAAUCUGCCUAUUAGUGGGGGACAACAUUCCGAAAGGAAUGCUAAUACCGCAUACACCCUACGGGGGAAAGCAGGGGAUCUUCGGACCUUGCGCUAAUAGAUGAGCCUAAGUCGGAUUAGCUAGUUGGUGGGGUAAAGGCCUACCAAGGCGACGAUCUGUAGCGGGUCUGAGAGGAUGAUCCGCCACACUGGGACUGGAACACGGCCCAGACUCCUACGGGAGGCAGCAGUGGGGAAUAUUGGACAAUGGGCGGAAGCCUGAUCCAGCCAUGCCGCGUGUGUGAAGAAGGCCUUUUGGUUGUAAAGCACUUUAAGCGAGGAGGAGGCUACUUAGAUUAAUACUCUGGGAUAGUGGACGUUACUCGCAGAAUAAGCACCGGCUAACUCUGUGCCAGCCGCCGCGGUAA